This 253-nucleotide unclassified non-coding RNA is filed under the name uncultured Parachlamydiaceae bacterium. RNAcentral's name for it is "contains 16S-23S intergenic spacer region". It matches the Rfam family "Bacterial small subunit ribosomal RNA", at positions 524 to 776 of the family's 1533-position model. The record is from RNAcentral. Lineage: Bacteria; Pseudomonadati; Chlamydiota; Chlamydiia; Parachlamydiales; Parachlamydiaceae.
UACGGAGGGUGCAAGCAUUAAUCGGAAUUAUUGGGCGUAAAGGGCGCGUAGGCCGAAAGGAAAGUCAGAUGUGAAAUCCCGGGGCUCAACCCCGGAACAGCAUAUGAAACUCCCAUUCUAGAGGAUAGGCGGAGAAAAUGGAAUUCCACAAGUAGCGGUGAAAUGCGUAGAUAUGUGGAAGAACACCAGUGGCGAAGGCGAUUUUCUAGCUUAUACCUGACGCUGAGGCGCGAAAGCAAGGGGAUCAAACAGG